Molecule: ribosomal RNA, 774 nt
Filed under: uncultured bacterium
Lineage: Bacteria
Description: bacterial SSU rRNA
Rfam family: Bacterial small subunit ribosomal RNA
Source: RNAcentral
CGGCAGCACGGGAGCAAUCCUGGUGGCGAGUGGCGAACGGGUGAGUAAUAUAUCGGAACGUGCCCAGUCGUGGGGGAUAACGCAGCGAAAGCUGUGCUAAUACCGCAUACGAUCUAUGGAUGAAAGCGGGGGAUCGCAAGACCUCGCGCGAUUGGAGCGGCCGAUAUCAGAUUAGCUAGUUGGUGGGGUAAAGGCCCACCAAGGCGACGAUCUGUAGCUGGUCUGGGAGGACGACCAGCCACACUGGAACUGAGACACGGUCCAGACUCCUACGGGAGGCAGCAGUGGGGAAUUUUGGACAAUGGGCGCAAGCCUGAUCCAGCAAUGCCGCGUGCAGGAUGAAGGCCUUCGGGUUGUAAACUGCUUUUGUACGGAACGAAACGGUCUUUUCUAAUAAAGAGGGCUAAUGACGGUACCGUAAGAAUAAGCACCGGCUAACUACGUGCCAGCAGCCGCGGUAAUACGUAGGGUGCGAGCGUUAAUCGGAAUUACUGGGCGUAAAGCGUGCGCAGGCGGUUAUAUAAGACAGAUGUGAAAUCCCCGGGCUCAACCUGGGACCUGCAUUUGUGACUGUAUAGCUAGAGUACGGUAGAGGGGGAUGGAAUUCCGCGUGUAGCAGUGAAAUGCGUAGAUAUGCGGAGGAACACCGAUGGCGAAGGCAAUCCCCUGGACCUGUACUGACGCUCAUGCACGAAAGCGUGGGGAGCAAACAGGAUUAGAUACCCUGGUAGUCCACGCCCUAAACGAUGUCAACUGGUUGUUGGGUCUUCACUG